GCUCGUAGUUGGAUGUAUGGCGGCGGGCGGGUGGUGUGCCGCGAGGCGCUACUGCCGGCCCGGGCCACGAUGCUGGGGACGGGCCCUUGCGGGUGCGGAACCAGGGAUUACUUUGAAGAAAUUAGAGUGUUUAAAGCGGGCGAUAGCUUGAAUACAUUAGCAUGGAAUAAUGGGAUAGGACUGCGGUCUUAUUUUGUUGGUUUGAGGGCAGCAGUAAUGAUUAAUAGGGAUAGUUGGGGGCAUUUUGUAUUCAGUAGUCAGAGGUGAAAUUCUUGGAUUUACUGAAGACAGACUAGUGCGAAAGCAUUUGCCAAGGAUGUUUUCAUUAAUCAAGAACGAAAGUUAGGGGAUCGAAGACGAUUAGAUACCGUCGUAGUCUUAACCAUAAACUAUGCCGACUAGAGAUUGGCGGAUGUCGUUAGCGACGCCGUCAGCAUCUUACGAGAAAUCAAAGUGUUUGGGUUCUGGGGGGAGUAGUGGUCGCAAGGCUGAACUUAAAGGAAUU
Molecule: ribosomal RNA, 505 nt
Filed under: uncultured eukaryote
Lineage: Eukaryota
Description: SSU rRNA
Rfam family: Eukaryotic small subunit ribosomal RNA
Source: RNAcentral